GUGAUGAUGAUCUGUGUAGGGAAAUAUGGAAGGCCUGUUCUGGUUCAUUGUUGGAUGUUUCAAAGGCUGGGGAGAGAGUAUACUACUUUCCAAGACUUCAUGUGGAGCAGCUGGAGCAAUCAUCCAACCAGGAGCUGAUUGAAAAACUACAAUUGUCCAACUUACCUCCAAAGAUCCUUUGUCGUGUUCUUCAUAUUCGUCUUCUGGUAUGCGUGA
RNAcentral lists this unclassified non-coding RNA (216 nucleotides) under Hevea brasiliensis (rubber tree). Lineage: Eukaryota; Viridiplantae; Streptophyta; Magnoliopsida; Malpighiales; Euphorbiaceae. The record is from RNAcentral.